RNAcentral lists this ribosomal RNA (244 nucleotides) under uncultured bacterium. RNAcentral's name for it is "partial 16S ribosomal RNA". It matches the Rfam family "Bacterial small subunit ribosomal RNA", at positions 95 to 334 of the family's 1533-position model. The record is from RNAcentral.
CCGGCGCACGGGUGAGUAACACGUAUGCAAUCCACCUGUAACAGGGGGAGUAACCCGGAGAAAUCCGGACUAAUACCCCAUAAUAUGGGCGCUCCGCAUGGAGAGUUCAUUAAAGAGAGCAAUUUUGGUUACAGACGAGCAUGCGCUCCAUUAGCCAGUUGGCGGGGUAACGGCCCACCAAGGCGACGAUGGAUAGGGGUUCUGAGAGGAAGGUCCCCCACAUUGGAACUGAGACACGGUCCAA